UAACCUCUGACGGUGAUCGUGAAUGUUG
RNAcentral lists this non-coding RNA (28 nucleotides) under unclassified sequences. Its description in RNAcentral is "L19-Flavobacteria ribosomal protein leader". It matches the Rfam family "L19-Flavobacteria ribosomal protein leader". The record is from RNAcentral.